CCUACGGGUGGCUGCAGUAGGGAAUAUUGCUCAAUGGGGGAAACCCUGAAGCAGCAACGCCGCGUGGAGGAUGAAGGUUUUCGGAUUGUAAACUCCUUUUGGUAGAGAGGAUAAUGACGGUAUCUAACGAAUAAGCACCGGCUAACGCCGUUCCAGCAGCCGCGGGAAUACGGAGGGUGCAAGCGUUACUCGGAAUCACUGGGCGGAAAGAGCGCGUAGGCGGGAUAGCAAGUCAGAUGUGAAAUGCUAAGGCUGAACCAUAGAAUGGAAUUUGAAACUGUUAUUCGAGAGUAUGGGAGAGGUAGGUGGAAUGCUUGGUGGAGGGGUAAAAUCCGUAGAGAUCAAGAGGAAUACUCAUUGCGAAGG
Molecule: ribosomal RNA, 366 nt
Filed under: uncultured bacterium
Lineage: Bacteria
Description: partial 16S ribosomal RNA
Rfam family: Bacterial small subunit ribosomal RNA
Source: RNAcentral